Molecule: transfer RNA, 82 nt
Filed under: Dreissena polymorpha
Lineage: Eukaryota; Metazoa; Mollusca; Bivalvia; Myida; Dreissenidae
Rfam family: tRNA
About the family: Transfer RNA (tRNA) molecules are approximately 80 nucleotides in length. Their secondary structure includes four short double-helical elements and three loops (D, anti-codon, and T loops).
Source: Rfam by way of RNAcentral
GUUGUCGUGGCCGAAUGGUUAAGGCGAUGGACUAGAAAUAUUUUGGGAUCUUCCCGCGCAGGUUCAAAUCCUGCAGACAUCG